AUGGGCCAGGAGACAGAGCACUCUGGGAAAGGAGAAGGAGAGAUGAGAGGUGCAGUGACUGCCAAUCAGCUGAAACGCAGCAAGAGCCUUAAUAAGUACAGCGGGCUAUUUACCGAGCACCGGGAGCAGAGUGACGGAUGGGUCAUAAACGCAUACCUUUCGGAUCCAUCAUAUGGAGAUUUUCUUGUGAUCGCACGAGGGCUGCCUUUAUUUGCUCUCCCAAGAACUACGGGGCAUAAGUGUCAGGCCCGAGAUGAGAUCCACGGAAGAAACCAACACUGUCUUGAAUCACAUUAUUUACAAAGCAGCAGGCUGGCUUGUUAUCCGCUGGCGUGAGGUGGACUGUGACAGCGUGAUAAUCCGUGCAGAUAUGUGCCGCUGACCCCGAGAUGUUCCUGCCUGCUGAGAAUUCUGGGGGAACUCGGCCGUCUCCCACUCUCUCUUUCUCUCUCUCUCUCUCCGGCCUUGUUUUUCUUCUGCUACAAAUAUUCCAGCGGACAUAUGCUUCCCCAGUUCACUGCAGAGCUUAUGGUGUUUGUUAGGCCUACACAUUUGGGCUCAAGGUGUAUGAAAGUGAUUUAAUCUUCCGCUCUGGAAGCUUCAUUACCUGGGUCACAGUCCGACUCUGGGGCUGCGAGGUGUGAUGCUGGAUCUCCGGCAGGUGUGUGAAGAACCGGAGCGUCAAUGACACCAGGCUCACUCACUUCAUCUGACACAAACUGGCACUGCUCCCGUCUUGAGAAAUCUGCAUCCAUGCGACAAAUCUGAAGAAAAACAAUGAAAAUUAUUUCAGUCCCACUUUAUUUGUCUUUCAUGUAGUAUCACAAACAUUUUCAUUAAAACUUACCACUGACAGAAAC
Long non-coding RNA from Cyprinus carpio (common carp), 860 nucleotides. NCBI's taxonomy places the organism in Eukaryota, Metazoa, Chordata, Actinopteri, Cypriniformes, Cyprinidae. The record is from Ensembl.